This 497-nucleotide ribosomal RNA is filed under the name uncultured bacterium. RNAcentral describes it as "partial 16S ribosomal RNA". It matches the Rfam family "Bacterial small subunit ribosomal RNA", at positions 28 to 507 of the family's 1533-position model. The record is from RNAcentral.
GAUGAACGCUGGCGGCGUGCCUAAUACAUGCAAGUCGAGCGAACAGACGAGGAGCUUGCUCCUCUGACGUUAGCGGCGGACGGGUGAGUAACACGUGGAUAACCUACCUAUAAGACUGGGAUAACUUCGGGAAACCGGGGCUAAUACCGGAUAAUAUAUUGAACCGCAUGGUUCAAUAGUGAAAGACGGUUUUGCUGUCACUUAUAGAUGGAUCCGCGCCGCAUUAGCUAGUUGAUAAGGUAACGGCUUACCAAGGCAACGAUGCGUAGCCGACCUGAGAGGGUGAUCGGCCACACUGGAACUGAGACACGGUCCAGACUCCUACGGGAGGCAGCAGUAGGGAAUCUUCCGCAAUGGGCGAAAGCCUGACGGAGCAACGCCGCGUGAGUGAUGAAGGUCUUCGGAUCGUAAAACUCUGUUAUUAGGGAAGAACAAAUGUGUAAGUAACUAUGCACGUCUUGACGGUACCUAAUCAGAAAGCCACGGCUAACUACGUG